CCUGCAGCUCCUCAACCUCCCCUUGUCUGUGGGUCUCCAUCAGCUUUGGGUCCUUGGGCCAGGUUGCCUCAUUCCCAUCACCCCGCCAAGCCUGGGCCCCGGGCUUCACCCCUCACCCCCUGCCCUACCUCGCUCCAGGCUGGACACAGCCAUGCCCUCAUGGGCUCCCCCUGCUCUGCUGAUCCUGCUGUCUCCAUGGCGAUGGAAGCUUUGGAGAGCUGGGGCUGAGCCCCUGGAGGCCUAAGCUGGAGUUGGUGCACAGUCCCUCCCGGAAAACUGUGGCUCCUGUAAUUCAUUUGGGGGCGUGAGGUGAAGACGGGGCCAGCGCCCCUGGGGCAGCUGAGACCAGGGCGGGGAAGACCAUAAAUCAGGCAGGAGCCAGUGCCCGGUGCCCCAAGCAAAAACUGGAGUGAAAUGUACCUGCCAAGGGUGAGAAAACAGCAAACACACAGAGCAGCACCAAGAAAUCGUCGCCCUGAGAUGACGGGAGCAGACGUAUGACUGGCAAUGGCAAGAGCAAAACACAUGAGCGGAUUUUCCCCUCGCAGCCUCAGAUCUGCUUUCUGUCCUUGUGGGUUUGCCUCCUCUGGGUA
Molecule: long non-coding RNA, 593 nt
Filed under: Homo sapiens (human)
Lineage: Eukaryota; Metazoa; Chordata; Mammalia; Primates; Hominidae
Description: HSALNT0387794
Source: RNAcentral